This 190-nucleotide unclassified non-coding RNA is filed under the name uncultured Atheliales. Its description in RNAcentral is "sequence contains ITS2". Lineage: Eukaryota; Fungi; Basidiomycota; Agaricomycetes; Atheliales. The record is from RNAcentral.
AACGCCUCAACCCCAAUGGAUUUGUUUCUUUUGGGGCUUGGACUUGGAGUGUGCUGGCGUGGGUCGGCUCCUCUCAAAUGCAUCAGCGGGAACUUGAUCCUUGGCUUCGGUGUGAUAAUCACAUUGCGCCGUGGCCCGAGCCCUCAGGUCCGCUCACAAAUGGUCUUUUGUUGGAGACGAUUUUAUUGAA